This is a long non-coding RNA of Rattus rattus (black rat), 381 nucleotides long. RefSeq lists it as uncharacterized. The record is from RefSeq and is a predicted model, not a curated record. Lineage: Eukaryota; Metazoa; Chordata; Mammalia; Rodentia; Muridae. The transcript has 3 exons.
AUGGGUCCUGUGCACUCUGUCUUCUCCUCUGCUGAUUUCUAGUUUGAAGAUCAAUCUCACUGCAAUGGGAAAGCACAUCUUGCUGCUCCUAUUGGGCCUGUGUUUGCUGGUGAACUCCCUCCAAGAUGGUAAAUUUCUGCUUGGAAGCCAGAGAUGUGCUGAUGUUUGCUUUAAAGGGACUGUUGAGAAUGGAGGUCUGACUGCAAAAAUGAAGUGCUGCUCAAAGUCUUUCUGUAAUACAGUAAAUAUAUGAUGCUUAAUUGUACUGUUGGAUUUUAGUGUUCUUUAUUGAGUCUUGACCCUGGAUCAUGCCAGAAAGAACUGCCUACUGACCAUGUCUGGAGCCCUCAUGGUGCAUCCUACAUCAUGUUUUCUGACUAC